RNAcentral lists this ribosomal RNA (468 nucleotides) under uncultured bacterium. Its description in RNAcentral is "partial 16S ribosomal RNA". It matches the Rfam family "Bacterial small subunit ribosomal RNA", at positions 28 to 507 of the family's 1533-position model. The record is from RNAcentral.
GACGAACGCUGGCGGCGUGCUUAACACAUGCAAGUCGAACGGAAAGGCCCUGCUUUUGUGGGGUGCUCGAGUGGCGAACGGGUGAGUAACAUGUGAGUAACCUGCCCUUGACUUUGGGAUAACUUCAGGAAACUGGGGCUAAUACCGGAUAGGAGCUCCUGCUGCAUGGUGGGGGUUGGAAUGUUUCGGGGGUUGGGUAUGGACUGGCGGCUUGUCAGCUUGUUGGUGGGGUAGUGGCUUACCAAGGCUUUGACGGGUAGCCGGCCUGAGAGGGUGACCGGCCACAGUGGGACUGAGACACGGCCCAGACGCCUGCGGGAGGCAGCAGUGGGGAAUAGUGCACUAUGGGCGGAAGCCGGAUGCAGCGACGCCGCGUGCGGGAUGACGGCCUUCGGGUUGUAAACCGCGUUCGCCUGUGACGAAGCGUGAGUGACGGUAAUGGGUAAAGAAGCACCGGCUAACUACGUG